RNAcentral lists this transfer RNA (72 nucleotides) under Ictidomys tridecemlineatus (thirteen-lined ground squirrel). RNAcentral's name for it is "Spermophilus tridecemlineatus (thirteen-lined ground squirrel) tRNA". It matches the Rfam family "tRNA". From Rfam's summary of the family: Transfer RNA (tRNA) molecules are approximately 80 nucleotides in length. Their secondary structure includes four short double-helical elements and three loops (D, anti-codon, and T loops). Further hydrogen bonds mediate the characteristic L-shaped molecular structure. tRNAs have two regions of fundamental functional importance: the anti-codon, which is responsible for specific mRNA codon recognition, and the 3' end, to which the tRNAs corresponding amino acid is attached (by aminoacyl-tRNA synthetases). tRNAs cope with the degeneracy of the genetic code in two manners: having more than one tRNA (with a specific anti-codon) for a particular amino acid; and 'wobble' base-pairing, i.e. permitting non-standard base-pairing at the 3rd anti-codon position. The record is from Rfam by way of RNAcentral. Lineage: Eukaryota; Metazoa; Chordata; Mammalia; Rodentia; Sciuridae.
GGGGAUAUAGCUCAAUUGGUAGAGUGCUUACCUCACGUGCAUAAGGACCUGGGUUCAAUCCCAGCACCACCA